Molecule: ribosomal RNA, 459 nt
Filed under: uncultured bacterium
Lineage: Bacteria
Description: partial 16S ribosomal RNA
Rfam family: Bacterial small subunit ribosomal RNA
Source: RNAcentral
AACGAACGCUGGCGGCAGGCCUAACACAUGCAAGUCGAGCGCGCCCUUCGGGGUGAGCGGCGGACGGGGGGGUAACGGGUGGGAACGUGCCCUUUUCUACGGAAUAGCGUCGGGAAACAGAGAGUAAUACGGUAUACGCUCUUGGGGGCGAAGUGUUGGCGAAAAAGGGGGGUCCACAGUUGUAUCGGGAUAGGGUGGGCGUAGGUCGCAUUAAGUCGUUGGUAGGGUAACGGCCUACCAAGGGGACGAUCCAUAACUGGUCUGAGAGGAUGACCAGCCACACUGGGACUGAGACACGGCGCAGACUCCUACGGGAGGGAGCAGUGGGGAAUCUUAGACAAUGGGGGCAACCCUGAUCUAGCCAUGCCGCGUGAGUGAUGAAGGCCUUAGGGUUGUAAAGCUCUUUCAGCUGGGAAGAUAAUGACGGUACCAGCAGAAGAAGCCCCGGCUAACUCCGUG